AUUAAUUAAAUUGGCACACUAUGAAUCAUUAGUUAGGCAUUAGUAAAUAGUCAAUUCAUAAUUUAUAAAGCAUUGUCCC
Long non-coding RNA from Sinocyclocheilus anshuiensis, 79 nucleotides. RefSeq lists it as uncharacterized. The transcript has 3 exons. Lineage: Eukaryota; Metazoa; Chordata; Actinopteri; Cypriniformes; Cyprinidae. The record is from RefSeq and is a predicted model, not a curated record.